This is a non-coding RNA of Rhipicephalus microplus (southern cattle tick), 72 nucleotides long. Lineage: Eukaryota; Metazoa; Arthropoda; Arachnida; Ixodida; Ixodidae. The record is from the annotation of a RefSeq genome assembly.
UCCGGCGUGGUCUAGUGGCUAAGAUACCUGGCUUUCACCCAUGAGGCCCGGGUUCGAUUUUCGGCGUCGGAG